AGGUCGUCAGAAAGAAACGCUCUUUGCCUUUCUCCAAAGGACACUGCAGUUGGGUGUUACAAAGAAAGCGCUUAAAUGGCACCUGAUGCAGAGUUGGACAUGAUCACUCUACCGGAACACCAAGGGGAUCGUGAUGUCAUCUGUAUUCUUUCCAUCACCAGCCAUCUGGAAAAGAGGAGCAGUAUCACUACUGCUCCCCUCAUUGUCAUCUAGCCAACAGAAAUGAUCGGUGUAAAUGCACUUUAUUACAGAAACACCCCUUAUCACCCCUUACUCCUACAGGUCCAUUCCAAACUGUGCUGGCCCAGCAGUCAAUACCACUCUGCCAAAAUAUGGGUGGGACACAAUUUGAACUGCCCGAG
Long non-coding RNA from Tachyglossus aculeatus (Australian echidna), 362 nucleotides. RefSeq lists it as uncharacterized. NCBI's taxonomy places the organism in Eukaryota, Metazoa, Chordata, Mammalia, Monotremata, Tachyglossidae. The transcript has 4 exons. The record is from RefSeq and is a predicted model, not a curated record.